This 493-nucleotide ribosomal RNA is filed under the name uncultured bacterium. RNAcentral describes it as "partial 16S ribosomal RNA". It matches the Rfam family "Bacterial small subunit ribosomal RNA", at positions 28 to 507 of the family's 1533-position model. The record is from RNAcentral.
GACGAACGCUGGCGGCGUGCUUAACACAUGCAAGUCGAACGGAAAGGCCGCUUUCCCUUGUGGAUUGCGGGUACUCGAGUGGCGAACGGGUGAGUAACACGUGAGUGAUCUGCCCCCAACUUGGGUAUAAGCCUGGGAAACUGGGUCUAAUUCCCGAUAGGACUGCAGGGUGGUGCCUGUGGUGGAAAACGAUUUUCUAGUGGUUGGGGAUGAGCUCGCGGCCUAUCAGCUUGUUGGUGGGGUAAUGGCCUACCAAGGCGGCGACGGGUAGCCGGCCUGAGAGGGUGGACGGCCACAUUGGGACUGCGAUACGGCCCAGACUCCUACGGGAGGCAGCAGUGGGGAAUAUUGCACAAUGGGCGGAAGCCUGAUGCAGCGACGCCGCGUGGGGGAUGACGGCCUUCGGGCUGUAAACUCCUUUCGACCGCGAGGAAGCCACCUGGUUGGAAGGGUGGUGACGGUAGUGGUAGAAGAAGCACCGGCUAACUACGUG